AACCUUUACCUAGACUUGACAUCCCGAGAAUCUUCUGGAAACAGGAGAGUGCCCUUCGGGGAACUCGGUGACAGGUGCUGGCAUGGCUGUCGUCAGCUCGUGUCGUGAGAUGGUUGGGUUAAGUCCCGCAACGAGCGCAACCCUUGUCUUUAAUUGCCAUCAUUCAGUUGGGCACUUUAAAGAGACUGCCGGUGUCAAACCGGAGGAAGUGGGAUGACGUCAAAUCAUCAUGCCCCUUAUGACCUGGGCUACACACGUGCUACAAUGGUUGGUACAACGAGUUGCGAGUCGGUGACGGCGAGCUAAUCUCUUAAAGCCAAUCUCAGUUCGGAUUGUAGGCUGCAACUCGCCUACAUGAAGUCGGAAUCGCUAGUAAUCGCGGAUCAGCACGCCGCGGUCGAAUACGUUCCCGGGCCUU
This 418-nucleotide ribosomal RNA is filed under the name uncultured Streptococcus sp. RNAcentral's name for it is "bacterial SSU rRNA". It matches the Rfam family "Bacterial small subunit ribosomal RNA", at positions 966 to 1382 of the family's 1533-position model. The record is from RNAcentral. Lineage: Bacteria; Bacillati; Bacillota; Bacilli; Lactobacillales; Streptococcaceae.